GUCGGACCAGUCCCAGGCCGGGGACACCCAGGACAGCGGGAACACCCGGGACAGCGGGGACAGCCGGGACAGCGGGAACACCCGGGGCAGCGGGAACACUCGGGACAGCGGGGACACCCGAGACACCGCGGGGACACCCGGGACAGUGGCGGCACUGCGGGACACCGCGGGGACAGCCUGACACGCCCUUCACAGCUCCCAUUCUGAUUCUGUCCCCCACCGCCGCUGUUUACAGAAGAGCUGGGAAGAGCAGGAAAACUUUAUUUAGACUAUAAACAUUCCAUCGUCCAGCAAGAACAGCCUGGCCGGCUCCAAAGCCCCUCCCUCCGGAAUCCCAUGGGAUGGGCAGCUCAUUCCCCCUCCCUCUGGACUGAUGGUGCCGCAGGGAGCGCUGGGCACUGGUGCCAUGAGGGGUCGGAUUUUUCAUCCACCUUCACGUCUCCUGCAAGGAAAACUCCAAACAAUGUCCCCUCCAGCCUCUUCCGCAGGAAUCCUGCGAAUGCCACCUCCUGGGCACGAGGCAUUGUUCAGGGAAGAACCGGAGCUACCGGCUGCGUUGCAUUAAUUUCCCUUCUUGUUUUGCUUCCGCCUAUUAAAUCUGGGAAAUGACACAACGCAUCCGAGAACCGCUGACUUCAUCUGCACCUUCCUCCUUGGACUGAAUCCCCCGACACGGCACCAGGCUCUGGAUGCCCAGAGCAUCCCUGGGAUGCAGCCCCCUCAGCACGGCAGGAACCAGGAGCCUCCUUCUCCCUUCUUUUUUUCUCCUUUUCCUUCCUUUUCCCCUCUGUUUUGGUUCACAUGUUGAGUUUUCCCUCCCUUGCUGCUCUGUUGUUGUGGCAGAUUUUACUGUUGGAUUUUGGCACAAAAACUUUAAUAAUUAAAAAAUAAAGACGUAAAAGCA
This is a long non-coding RNA of Corvus hawaiiensis (hawaiian crow), 904 nucleotides long. RefSeq lists it as uncharacterized. The transcript has 2 exons. The record is from RefSeq and is a predicted model, not a curated record. Lineage: Eukaryota; Metazoa; Chordata; Aves; Passeriformes; Corvidae.